RNAcentral lists this ribosomal RNA (253 nucleotides) under uncultured bacterium. Its description in RNAcentral is "partial 16S ribosomal RNA". It matches the Rfam family "Bacterial small subunit ribosomal RNA", at positions 524 to 776 of the family's 1533-position model. The record is from RNAcentral.
UACGUAGGUGGCAAGCGUUGUCCGGAUUUACUGGGCGUAAAGGGCGUGCAGGCGGUCUGCUAAGUCUAGGGUGAAAGCUCCCGGCUCAACUGGGAGAGGUCCUUGGAUACUGGCGGACUUGAGGGAGGUAGAGGAGAGUGGAGUUCCCGGUGUAGUGGUGAAAUGCGUAGAUAUCUGGAGGAACACCGGUGGCGAAGGCGGCAUCCUGGGUCGGUAUUGACGCUGAGGAGCGAAAGCCAGGGGAGCAAACGGG